Molecule: ribosomal RNA, 447 nt
Filed under: uncultured bacterium
Lineage: Bacteria
Description: bacterial SSU rRNA
Rfam family: Bacterial small subunit ribosomal RNA
Source: RNAcentral
UGCCAGACUCCUACGGGAGGCAGCAGUGGGGAAUAUUGCACAAUGGGGGAAACCCUGAUGCAGCGACGCCGCGUGAGCGAUGAAGUAUUUCGGUAUGUAAAGCUCUAUCAGCAGGGAAGAAAAUGACGGUACCUGACUAAGAAGCCCCGGCUAACUACGUGCCAGCAGCCGCGGUAAUACGUAGGGGGCAAGCGUUAUCCGGAUUUACUGGGUGUAAAGGGAGCGUAGACGGCUGUGCAAGCCAGAUGUGAAAGCCCGGGGCUCAACCCCGGGACUGCAUUUGGAACUGUGUGGCUGGAGUGUCGGAGAGGCAGGCGGAAUUCCUAGUGUAGCGGUGAAAUGCGUAGAUAUUAGGAGGAACACCAGUGGCGAAGGCGGCCUGCUGGACGAUGACUGACGUUGAGGCUCGAAAGCGUGGGGAGCAAACAGGAUUAGAUACCCUGGUAC